AGUGAACGCUGGCGGUAGGCCUAACACAUGCAAGUCGAACGGCAGCACAGUAAGAGCUUGCUCUUACGGGUGGCGAGUGGCGGACGGGUGAGGAAUACAUCGGAAUCUACUUUUUCGUGGGGGAUAACGUAGGGAAACUUACGCUAAUACCGCAUACGACCUACGGGUGAAAGCAGGGGAUCUUCGUACCUUGCGCGAUUGAAUGAGCCGAUGUCGGAUUAGCUAGUUGGCGGGGUAAAGGCCCACCAAGGCGACGAUCCGUAGCUGGUCUGAGAGGAUGAUCAGCCACACUGGUACUGAGACACGGUCCAGACUCCUACGGGAGGCGGCAGUGGGGAAUAUUGGACAAUGGGCGCAAGCCUGAUCCAGCCAUACCGCGUGGGUGAAGAAGGCCUUCGGGUUGUAAAGCCCUUUUGUUGGGAAAGAAAAGCAGCAGGUUAAUACCCCGCUGUUCUGACGGUACCCAAAGAAUAAGCACCGGCUAACUUCGUG
Molecule: ribosomal RNA, 492 nt
Filed under: uncultured bacterium
Lineage: Bacteria
Description: partial 16S ribosomal RNA
Rfam family: Bacterial small subunit ribosomal RNA
Source: RNAcentral